RNAcentral lists this transfer RNA (484 nucleotides) under Candidatus Kinetoplastidibacterium crithidiae. RNAcentral describes it as "Candidatus Kinetoplastibacterium crithidii partial 16S-23S ribosomal RNA intergenic spacer". The stretch from base 131 to 204 matches the Rfam family "tRNA". Lineage: Bacteria; Pseudomonadati; Pseudomonadota; Betaproteobacteria. The record is from RNAcentral.
AGAGCAUAUGAACUACAUAUUAAGUGCCUACAAUUAUCGAUUGUUAUUUAGCUGAGAUUGGUAGUAAGCAGGGUUGCGACAGAUUCUUCAUUGGGGUUUGCCCAAAGUUAUGCUAACCCUAUAAAUGCAUGGGUCUGUAGCUCAGCUGGUUAGAGCACCGUCUUGAUAAGGCGGGGGUCGUUGGUUCAAGUCCAACCAGACCCACCAUCUGUUUGAGUAAUACCUUUCUGUGGUACUAUGGGGGUGUAGCUCAAUUGGGAGAGCGCCUGCUUUGCAAGCAGGAGGUCAUCGGUUCGAUCCCGUUCACCUCCACCAAUUUAGAAUUUAAUUUUUAGGCUUGUUUCAAGUUUAAAAAUUAAGUUUUAUUAGCUGAUUGUUCUUUAAAAAUCUAGAAGAGACGCAACAUAAAUAUGUAUAGAUUUUACAUUUUGUAUAAUCUAUACGAUUAGGGUUGUGAUUGCAUUAAUUAUAAUUAUGUUCUUUG